GCCGGUGUGAUGGAAUGGCAGACGUGCUUGACUCAAAAUCAAGUGUCUUCGGACGUGCCGGUUCAAGUCCGGCCACCGGCACCA
Molecule: transfer RNA, 84 nt
Filed under: Bacillota bacterium
Lineage: Bacteria; Bacillati; Bacillota
Also listed under: 1 other name
Description: tRNA-Leu
Rfam family: tRNA
About the family: Transfer RNA (tRNA) molecules are approximately 80 nucleotides in length. Their secondary structure includes four short double-helical elements and three loops (D, anti-codon, and T loops).
Source: RNAcentral